RNAcentral lists this ribosomal RNA (253 nucleotides) under uncultured bacterium. RNAcentral describes it as "partial 16S ribosomal RNA". It matches the Rfam family "Bacterial small subunit ribosomal RNA", at positions 524 to 776 of the family's 1533-position model. The record is from RNAcentral.
UACGUAGGUGGCAAGCGUUGUCCGGAAUUAUUGGGCGUAAAGCGCGCGCAGGCGGUUUUUCAAGUCUGAUGUGAAAUCCCCCGGCUCAACCGGGGAGGGUCAUUGGAAACUGGGGAACUUGAGUGCAGAAGAGAAGAGUGGAAUUCCACGUGUAGCGGUGAAAUGCGUAGAGAUGUGGAGGAACACCAGUGGCGAAGGCGACUCUUUGGUCUGUAACUGACGCUGAGGCGCGAAAGCGUGGGGAGCAAACAGG